GCCCUGGUGGCCAAGUGGUAAGGCGUCGCACUCGUAAAAAGUGUUGAUAUGCGAAGAUCCUCGGUUCAAUUCCGAGUCAGGGCA
Non-coding RNA from Morchella snyderi, 84 nucleotides. NCBI's taxonomy places the organism in Eukaryota, Fungi, Ascomycota, Pezizomycetes, Pezizales, Morchellaceae. The record is from the annotation of a GenBank genome assembly.